CUGCUGCCUUCCGUAGGAGUCUGGGCCGUGUCUCAGUCCCAAUGUGGCCGGCCAACCUCUCAGUCCGGCUACUGAUCGUCGCCUUGGUGGGCCUUUACCCCGCCAACAAGCUAAUCAGACGCGAGCUCAUCUCAGAGCGAUAAAUCUUUGGCGUCCAGAGAGAUGCCUCCCAGACGCAUCAUGCGGUAUUAGCGGCUGUUUCCAACCGUUAUUCCCCACUCCAAGGCAGAUUGCU
Molecule: ribosomal RNA, 235 nt
Filed under: uncultured bacterium
Lineage: Bacteria
Description: partial 16S ribosomal RNA
Source: RNAcentral